GAUGAACGCUGGCGGCGUGCCUAACACAUGCAAGUCGAACGGAAUUUACAUGAAGCCUAGCGAUUGUAAAUUUAGUGGCGGACGGGUGAGUAACGCGUGGGUAACCUGCCUUGUACUGGGGGACAACAGUCGGAAACGACUGCUAAUACCGCAUGACGCUUCUUGGGGGCAUCCCUGAGAAGUCAAAGCUUUAUGUGCUGAAAGAUGGAUUCGCGUCUGAUUAGCUAGUUGGUGAGGUAACGGCUCACCAAGGCGACGAUCAGUAGCCGGUCUGAGAGGAUGAACGGCCACAUUGGGACUGAGAUACGGCCCAG
RNAcentral lists this ribosomal RNA (314 nucleotides) under uncultured bacterium. RNAcentral describes it as "bacterial SSU rRNA". It matches the Rfam family "Bacterial small subunit ribosomal RNA", at positions 28 to 334 of the family's 1533-position model. The record is from RNAcentral.